Molecule: long non-coding RNA, 3926 nt
Filed under: Triticum aestivum (bread wheat)
Lineage: Eukaryota; Viridiplantae; Streptophyta; Magnoliopsida; Poales; Poaceae
Description: long non-coding RNA (TAES_LNC003349)
Rfam family: MIR1120/MIR1122 microRNA precursor family (bases 2592-2726)
Source: RNAcentral
AGCUCAGAUAUGACUGGAGGAAUUAUGAACCCUGCAUCUGUAAGUGUUAUCUACACCUAAUGUCAUGAGACUGUUGUAGAAAUUAACCUCUUGAACUUGAACUACAACACAUGUGCAUAACUUCGAAUCUAAUACAAAUCAUCGAAAUAGUAUGCAUACACAUAUAUGGCAGCACUAAUUUUGUUCUGGUUGCCAGUACAUUUCUGCUAGCCAGCACUCCAUAAUAUUAUGUUCCGCUGCAAUGUGUGGUGAUCAGUUGAUAUGUGAAAUGUUCAUAUCAUCCAAGUGUGCCAUGGUGAUAUCAAACUUUGGCCAUAAAAUCAAACAGUUUGUAAGUUGUCUAAAUGGUUUUACAUGCAUACAUUUUUCUUGUCAUCUCAAAGAUGUUGCAUUGAUGCUUUCAAAUACUUCAAAAAGGUCAUGGUAUAUCACACCAACUAACAGUUUGACAGAUGUCCACUGCUAGCAAAUACUCCGUCCGUUCCAGAAUAUAAGGUGUAUUGAUUUCCGUGCAAGUCAACCAUUUGAAUAUUUGACCAAAAUAACAAUAUCCGCAAUUCCUAAUAGAUAAAAUAUGAAACUACUCCCUCCGUCCCAUAAUAUAAGAACUGUUUCAGUUUGAAAAACGUUCUUAUAUUAUGGGACGGAGGGAGUACUUUUUAUGAUGGAUCAAGUGAUAUAUAUUUCGUAUUGUGAAUGUUGACAUAUUUUUCUUAAAAUACAGUCAAACUUGCACUCAUUUGACUUUUGAAAAAACAAAUACACCUUAUAUAAAGGAACGGAGGGAGUAGCUAUCGAACUUAGUGAUAAACCAUGAAUGCGUUUUUACUCACAGUAGAGUAACACCUGACAUGCAUUUUUAGCUUGCUACAUCUAAUUCUUGUGAUUGAACUUCAGUUAUCUAAUGAUUCACUUGUGUUAUAUUCUGCAGGCCUUUGCUUGGGCCUAUGCUCGUGGAGAUCACACAUCAUUUGACCACCUACUGGUAUAUUGGCUCGCACCCCUCCAAGCAACCCUUGUAGGAGUAUGGGUGGUUACCUUCUUAACUAAACCCAAGAAUACCAAGGAGCAAGCAGCAGAUAAAAACAAGAACAAAAAGGAAUAAACUUCAGGAAGUGAGCCAUCGCCUGGUUGGGGAGUGGAUGUACAUACAGUACCAGCGCCUGGGUUGAAGUCCCCAUGGGCUUGAAUUUAGGUUCUAUUUGGCUUUCCUUCAAGUAUUCCUUCAAAGAAAGAAGGAUCAUUGUUAUUGUGGGAGUGGUGUCCACCAUUUUUUCUGGAGCAAGAACUCCAGAUCAUAUUAUUAUCAUUAAUUAUUCUAAAAUGUUCAUCGCCUUACCUCCGUCCCAAAUUACUUGACUUUUUAGUGUUGGAUACAUCCGUAUCUAGACAAAUCUAAGACGAGUAAUUUGAGACGGAGGGAGUAGUAUUUUUUUUAUGUGUGCUAAAAUGUUCCAGGCAUAUUUUGGGAAACAGUAGGGAGGAGAUGAUACAACUCAAUCGCGAUCAAGACUGUUGAACUCAUCACCUGUCUCGCACAGACUGACAAUUGACAUUUUGUUUUCCUGCAAUUUAUCAGUGUGUCCUGCAAGUCUCAUUCUACAUAGCGAGACUGGAAAUGCAGUGUGGUCUAGGUCCUCUAGUUCCUAGAAAACCAAUCAGUUUAGGAUAUCGUUGGCAAUAUACCAUAAGUUAAUACUCCUACAUGAGUGGUGAAUGCACACGAAUAACAAAACAUUCAGCACAUAUGAUGGAGCUAACAGCCUAACAAUGACAGCUGUUUCAACACCUAUACAGCUAUAAAACUGCUACUCCCUCAAUUCACUUUUGUAAGUCAUUCAGACAGCUAAAAAUGGGCUGUUUUGUACAUUAUCUGAAUUGUCUUCAAAGUCUUAUAAAAGUGAAUGGAGGGAGUAGUUUUCUUUAAAUUGCAUCGGUUGGUUAUCAGCAGAAACUCUCAAAAUUAAAACUGAUGGAUGUCAGUAUAGAAAAUCUGGUUGGGCCAGUGAUGAUGUUGGCAACUGACUACCUUUUGUAGUAUUGUCGCUGCAGUUCAGCCAUCCUGCUAUCAAACAAUUACUAACCUGAAAAUUCGACCAUGUUCUCCUUUUUCAGUCUAAUAAUUAUUAAGUGCCCACACACACAUCCAAUUCUGGAAGAUUCGUUUGAAGUAUUUCAUGUUAUAUCCCGUCUAUUCCCUCCGUCCCAACAUAAGUGUCUUAAGCUUAAUACAACGUACAAAGUUGAGGCACUUAUUUUGAGACAAAGGGAGUAUUACAUACUCCCCCCGUUCCAAAAUAGAUGAUCCAACUUUGUACAAAGUUACUACAAAGUUGAGUCGUCUAUUAUACUCCCUCCGUCCGGAAAUACUUGUUGGAGAAAUGGAUGAAAAUGGAUGUAUCUAAAACUAAAUUGCGUCUAGAUACAUUCAUUCCUCCGACAAGUAUUUUGGGACGGAGGGAGUAGAACGGAGGGAGUACUAAUUUAUGCAGUAGUACUCCUAUACCAUCCAAUUGGUUCAUUUGGGUUGAAUAAUCCAUAUCCAUAUGUAUUUAUACAACGGUUUUGCUAUAUGAUGUUCGUCUAAAAAUAUUGUACUCCCUCCGUUCUGAAUUAAUUGUCUUAGAUUUGUCUAGAUACGGAUGUAUCUAGACUCAUUUUAGUGCUAGAUACAUCCGUAUCUAGACAAAUCUAAGACAAGUAAUUCGGAACAGAGGGAGUACAUAUGAUUUUCUUCAUGCAGGGUUAAGAAAGAAAGAACUGGAAUUACUAGUUCCUGUAUUUAUUUGUGUUUCUUUAGUUAACCAGCUCCUUUGUGAAUUUGUACUUAGAACUUGGAGCUGGAGUUUAACGCCGGAAUAGCAGACAAGAAUUCCCCGCUCCAAAUGGGGCUGCAAGGGAAGGUGUAAUGGACCCGUUCUUGUGGUCCAGGUCCAUGUGCUAUGUUUUCUGUCUGUGUACAGGGAGGGCAUGCGGCCCCUUCAAAGGUGUUUAACGUCAUUCUCCUUGCUGCUGGUGGCCCAAUGCAGACCCACUACGUUCGUGCUAUUAAUUUGUUCUCACAUUGCUUUUCGUUUGUACUUUUUCUUUUCUUUUCUGGUGUGAGAUUACUAUCAAGCGGUUCCAAUAAUACAACAAAUAGAAACAUAACUUGUGCACAAAUAGAAAAAUGGGAGAAGGCGCAGCUUGGUAUCAUCCUGACAUGAUCAUUAUCGUUAUUAUUAUCAUUUUACAAAAAAAAGGCAUGAUUGUUAUCUUGCACAUGCAUCUACUUGUUAUUGCCGCUGCACUUUUAUCAUCGACGCUAUUGAGUCUCCAGAUCAUGGAUCGGAUCUGUCUAUGCUGACGAAUAUGCUUUGGAUGCGACCGAGACAUGUUGCUUGACAGUUGGGGAUGACGAAGGUGCAAUUUUAAGAUGUAGUAGAAUUUGUAGAACCCAUUUUGACCGAGAUUCAUAGCAUCAUUCAAGUAAAUACAAAUUAGGAUCGUCCUCUAAUGAUUCCUCGCAAAGAAAAAACAAAGAAUCCUUAAAUGAUCGAGAAAGAAAUGGAACGUUGGAUUGUGUCAAAACGCUCGCACAUGUUUGUCCGAUCGCUGAAGCAGCUCGAACCUCCAAUUCACGGCUCGUAUAUCAUGGUCCUGAUUGGAAAUAAAAGCUGGAGUACGAUGUAUAGUGCUCCCUCCAUUCCAUAAUGUAGUGUGUCCAUGUUUCCCGAGAUUCAAGUUUAACCGUAAACUUAAUCAACAAGACCAAUUGCGACGGGAGCAAAAAUUAUAUCACUAAAUUCAUAUUGAAAAUAAGAAAUCAGUGAUAUAAUUUUGCUCCGCUGCAGUCGGUCUCAGUAGUUAAAUUUACGGUCAAAUUUGAAUCUCAGAAAGCGCAAACGCACUACAUUGUAAAAACGGAGGGAGUACAUUUUUUUUCU